This 641-nucleotide ribosomal RNA is filed under the name Amycolatopsis sp. I13A-01679. RNAcentral's name for it is "bacterial SSU rRNA". It matches the Rfam family "Bacterial small subunit ribosomal RNA", at positions 101 to 756 of the family's 1533-position model. Lineage: Bacteria; Bacillati; Actinomycetota; Actinomycetes; Pseudonocardiales; Pseudonocardiaceae. The record is from RNAcentral.
AACGGGUGAGUAACACGUGGGUAAUCUGCCCUGCACUCUGGGAUAAGCCUUGGAAACGAGGUCUAAUACCGGAUAUCACCUCUCUCCGCAUGGAGGGUGGUUGAAAGUUCCGGCGGUGCAGGAUGAACCCGCGGCCUAUCAGCUUGUUGGUGGGGUAAUGGCCUACCAAGGCGACGACGGGUAGCCGGCCUGAGAGGGUGACCGGCCACACUGGGACUGAGACACGGCCCAGACUCCUACGGGAGGCAGCAGUGGGGAAUAUUGCACAAUGGGCGAAAGCCUGAUGCAGCGACGCCGCGUGAGGGAUGACGGCCUUCGGGUUGUAAACCUCUUUCGCCAGGGACGAAGCGCAAGUGACGGUACCUGGAUAAGAAGCACCGGCUAACUACGUGCCAGCAGCCGCGGUAAUACGUAGGGUGCGAGCGUUGUCCGGAUUUAUUGGGCGUAAAGAGCUCGUAGGCGGUUUGUCGCGUCGGCUGUGAAAUCUGGAGGCUUAACCUUCAGCGUGCAGUCGAUACGGGCAGACUUGAGUUCGGUAGGGGAGACUGGAAUUCCUGGUGUAGCGGUGAAAUGCGCAGAUAUCAGGAGGAACACCGGUGGCGAAGGCGGGUCUCUGGGCCGAUACUGACGCUGAGGAGCGA